UACGAACGCUGGCGGCGCGCCUAACACAUGCAAGUCGCACGAGAAACUCUGUAGCAAUACAGGGCGGUAAAGUGGCGAACGGGUGAGUAAUGCGUGGGUAACCUGCCUCCGAGUUGGGGAUAACCCCGCGAAAGGCGGGGCGUAAUACCGAAUAAGACCACAUUACCAAAAGGUAAGUGGGAUCAAAGGUAGGCCUAUGACCCGCCAAGGGUUAUGCUGCCGCUUGGAGGAGGGGCUCACGUCCCAUCAGCUUGUUGGUAGGGUAAUGGCCUACCAAGGCAAUGACGGGGUAGCUGGUCUGAGAGGACGACCAGCCACACUGGCAC
This 326-nucleotide ribosomal RNA is filed under the name uncultured bacterium. RNAcentral describes it as "bacterial SSU rRNA". It matches the Rfam family "Bacterial small subunit ribosomal RNA", at positions 29 to 319 of the family's 1533-position model. The record is from RNAcentral.